CAGUCAGUAAGAUGGUAGACAGUUCAUUCAUUCAGUAAGAUGGUAGACAGUUCAUUCAGUCAGUAAGAUGGUAGACAGUUCAUUCAGUCAGUAAGAUGGUAGACAGUUCAUUCAGUCAGUAAGAUGGUAGACAGUCAGUAAGAUGGUAGGUAGUUCAUUCAGUCAGUAAGAUGGUAGACAGUUCAUUCAGUCAGUAAGAUGGUAGACAGUUCAUUCAGUCAGUAAGAUGGUAGUCAGUUCAUUCAGUCAGUAAGAUGGUAGUCAGUUCAUUCAGUCAGUAAGAUGGUAGACAGUUCAUUCAAGAUGGUAGACAGUUCAUUCAGUCAGUA
Oncorhynchus tshawytscha (Chinook salmon) is the source of this 329-nucleotide long non-coding RNA. NCBI's taxonomy places the organism in Eukaryota, Metazoa, Chordata, Actinopteri, Salmoniformes, Salmonidae. The record is from Ensembl.